This 2613-nucleotide long non-coding RNA is filed under the name Eucalyptus grandis. RNAcentral describes it as "long non-coding RNA (EGRA_LNC000073)". Lineage: Eukaryota; Viridiplantae; Streptophyta; Magnoliopsida; Myrtales; Myrtaceae. The record is from RNAcentral.
GCCAAGGCCACCGCUCCUCUCCUUUGGCUUUUUCUCUCUCGCACGCCAAGCUGCUUCUCUUCCUCUUUCGUGCGACGAGCUCCUUCUCUCUCGGCCAAGUCUUGCUUUUGCUUCUUUUUAAUCUUCCUUCGAAGACUGCCAGCCGUCCUCCUUCAGUCUCUGCCGCCUGCUCCACUCCAUCCGCACGAAGCCUUCCACCGAGGCUGACUUCAUGUUCUGUUGACCGAAGCAGCUCGACGCCAGCAGCUACUUCUUCUGCCACGUGAAAUUCAGCCGAUCGAAGCCAGCUCAGCCAUUUCGACUUCACGAGCAGUAGUUCGGCCAGCAAAGUCUUCCCACGUGAAGCCGCCCACCGAUUUUCCUCUGCCACGUCCAAGCUGCCACGCUUUUGUUUUCAUCUCCACCGGUCAACAAUCCUCUCCACCCAGCUCUUUGGUUGACCCUGCAGUUGCCCGUUUGUUCAUCGAGCAGCCAACAAAGCCCACAUCUCCUCUGGCUGUCCACGAAGACCGAAGCUGCCCCGAUUUCUUCAAUUUUCCUCAACUGAAGCAGUCGAGCAGUCCAGCGCCUUCGUCCAACGAUCCGCCGAGGCUGCUGCCGUUCGUCCAUCCCCACACGGCCCGCAAUCUAGCGAGUCUUCAUCCUCCAGCUCACGUGAAUUUUUAGCCCAGCAGUUGGGUCCAUCUCCAGCAACUUCAGCAAGCCCAUUUCAGUGAAGUUCAGUCCAGCAGCCCAGUUUUUGAGGCCCGCUUCAGCUUGGUCCAUUUAAGUUGUAGCCCAUUUUCAGUCUUGAAGUUCAGCCCAUCUUGGGCCCGUGAAGCAAGUCAGCCCAAGUUCGGCCCAAGCCCAGCAAUUUGCUGUAGGCUUGCAAGGCCUUUGGGCCCGGCCCAAGUGAUCGUCGACAUCGCCGAAAAUUCGGAUUUCGGCCGCCAUCGCGCUGUCGCGUCGCCAUCGCGGUGUUCCGGUCUUUGCUUUGCCAAGUGAGUAAUCUCACUAAUCCUUGAUUAGUAGACUAAUGAUGCUUAAGGGUUGAUUAGAUUUAAUUAAGUGCAAUUAGGUUGUUAGAUUAGAAUGGAUUAGUGAUUAUUAGUUAAUUGCAUUACAUAUUAGUUAGGUGGUUAGUGUACUUAGCUAGAGAACUGCCUAUACUAUUUAUUGAAUGCAUCUCGGGAUUUUUCCCGACCCUUAUUGGGCUUCAAUUAGGCAUUACGAGCAUAAAUUGGAUUUUUAGUAUUUAUUUAUUAAUUUUCGAAAUUAAUUAUUUAAUUAUUUAUUUUUCGGAAAUUAGGCAAGGAUAGCCGACGACCGAAAUUUCGUGCUGAUUCUCGUGGCCCAGUCCGUUUAUUUAUUUGAGCUCUACGUGGUGUUGAAUCGAAUUGAUUGUGCAAUUUGAGGAAUUAUUCAUUAAUGACUGAAAUUGAGUGAAAUUGAAUGAUUGAUUGAUGGAUGACCGAGUGUGGUUAUUUAGCAUUAACAAUGCUUUGAUGAGUUGUAAAGUAGAGAAAAUCGUGAGGUUGAACUGAGAAUAAUCUUGGCUGAGAUCGAUCAGGUACAAGGUAUAGACAUACGUGGUUCGGUGAUAAGGAAAUCACUGGUGAAAACGGCGCCUUAAAGAAUGCACGAGUAUUGUCUAUUACCUACAUUAGUAUAGACAUACGUGGUUCAGUGAUAAGGAAAUCACUGGUGAAAACGGCGCCUUAAAGAAUGCACGAGUGCUGUCUACUACAUGCAUCGUUAUGGACAUACGUGGUUCGGUGAUUAAGAAUAUCACUGGUAAAAACGGCGCCUUAAAGAACACACGAGUGCUAUCCAGUACAUAUGUCACCUUGGCGAAAACAACGCCCAAGAGCACAACUGUAGCUCUGUGACUGAGAAUGCAAAUGGGAGGUUUUAUAUUGAGAAGUGAUUUGACCUGGAAAUGGUCCGACUGACAUGUAAUCGACUAGAUCGAUUGAUCAAUGAUUUGAUCCGUUGUCGUGAAUUGACUGAUUGAGUGGAAGUGACUUUGAAUGGUCCGAUUGAUAUGUAAUUGACUAGGUCGAUUGAUCAAGAUAUCGAUCUGUGAUACGAUUGCUAGGGUGCCUAUUGAAAUGUGCUAAUAUGUAGGUGGAAUCUGAGACCAAGGUAAGUCCUCUGACCCGUGCGUGUAUAGGCAGCCCGGUUAGCAUAUUGGUUUCCUAAUUGAGUCUUAGUAGGGUAGAACUUGCUGAGACGUAAUCUCAUCCCGAUUGUGGGACAACAUUUCAGGCCUGUAGAUGAGUCUGUGAAGAAGGAACCAGAAGAGGACAAUGAGCUGGUAAAAGAUGAAGAGCUUGAAGGAUGUGAGCUUAGUGAAGAAGAGUCAGAAGAGGAUUAGGAUGAUCCUGCGUACGACCCGGAUGAGGAUUGAGAUCUCAUCCUCUUUUGUGAACCUUGUGUUGUGUAUAUAGAGUGUGACUAGAAUGUUAUGAAUAGUCUUGUGAAUAGACUUUGAGUUAUGUCAUGUAUAAAGGUUUGGUUGUGGAUUUUAAUAUGAAAAAUAUGGCCUUGCUUUUCUAUCCCAUUGUGUUAUUGUCUGUGGAUUUAUAACUGCUUCCGCAUGUGCUUAAUAAACGAAAGGGUCGGCGAUACUUA